AACACAUGCGUCGGUGCUCAAAGUCAAUUGCGCUGUGUGCAAGAUAGGGCCCACUGUGUAUCUAUUUUGACAUCAG
Etheostoma cragini (Arkansas darter) is the source of this 76-nucleotide long non-coding RNA. RefSeq lists it as uncharacterized. The transcript is spliced from 3 exons. The record is from RefSeq and is a predicted model, not a curated record. NCBI's taxonomy places the organism in Eukaryota, Metazoa, Chordata, Actinopteri, Perciformes, Percidae.